UCGGCUUGCCGUUGUUGCAGCGUCUAGCUUCACUAUGAGAUCUUGGUGGCGGUGCAUCGUCUCGGGACCAAAGUCGGAGACCAAGAAGGAAACUACGAUGGCUGCGAUAAUUGUGUGGCAUUUGUGGAAGGAAAGGAACAACAGAGUGUUCCAACAAAAGGAGUGUAACUCCAUUUCUCUGUAUAGGUUGAUCGAGGAUGAAUUCUGCCUCCUUUUGGAGGCGAUAGAGAGGUAGUCUGAGUGUGUGUUGUUGUCAACUUGCUAGGCAAGUUGAUAUUUUUCCCUGGAGCUUUUCUCAAUCUCUG
RNAcentral lists this long non-coding RNA (305 nucleotides) under Brachypodium distachyon (stiff brome). RNAcentral's name for it is "long non-coding RNA (BDIS_LNC004640)". Lineage: Eukaryota; Viridiplantae; Streptophyta; Magnoliopsida; Poales; Poaceae. The record is from RNAcentral.